RNAcentral lists this ribosomal RNA (933 nucleotides) under uncultured bacterium. RNAcentral's name for it is "bacterial SSU rRNA". It matches the Rfam family "Bacterial small subunit ribosomal RNA", at positions 8 to 919 of the family's 1533-position model. The record is from RNAcentral.
AGAGUUUGAUCCUGGCUCAGAACGAACGCUGGCGGCGUGCUUAACACAUGCAAGUCGAACGCGAAAGGGACUUCGGUCCUGAGUAAAGUGGCGCACGGGUGAGUAACGCGUAGAUAACCUGUCUUUGUGUCUGGAAUAAUACUUCGAAAGGGGUACUAAUACCGGAUAACCUUGCUUUUCACAAGUUAUGCAAGCAAAGGUGGCCUCUGAUACAAGCUACUGCAUGAAGAGGGGUCUGCGUACCAUUAGCUAGUAGGUGGGGUAAUGGCCUACCUAGGCGACGAUGGUUAGCGGGUCUGAGAGGAUGAUCCGCCACACUGGCACUGGAACACGGGCCAGACUCCUACGGGAGGCAGCAGUGAGGAAUAUUGCGCAAUGGGGGCAACCCUGACGCAGCGACGCCGCGUGAGUGAGGAAGGCCUUCGGGUCGUAAAGCUCUGUCAAGAGGAAAGAAGUGCAUAAUGGUUAAUACCUGUUAUGUUUGACGGUACCUCUAAAGGAAGCACCGGCUAACUCCGUGCCAGCAGCCGCGGUAAUACGGAGGGUGCAAGCGUUGUUCGGAAUCACUGGGCGUAAAGGGCGCGCAGGCGGUAUGGUAAGUCAGAUGUGAAAGCCCACGGCUUAACCGUGGAAGGGCAUUUGAAACUGCCAGACUUGAGUACCAGAGGGGAAAGUGGAAUUCCCGGUGUAGAGGUGAAAUUCGUAGAUAUCGGGAGGAAUACCGGUGGCGAAGGCGACUUUCUGGCUGAGUACUGACGCUGAGGCGCGAAAGCGUGGGGAGCAAACAGGAUUAGAUACCCUGGUAGUCCACGCCGUAAACGAUGUCAACUAGAUGCAGGGGGUGUUGAUCCCCUCUGUGUCGCAGCUAACGCAUUAAGUUGACCGCCUGGGGAGUACGGUCGCAAGAUUAAAACUCAAAGGAAUUGACGGAAU